Molecule: ribosomal RNA, 563 nt
Filed under: uncultured Bifidobacterium sp.
Lineage: Bacteria; Bacillati; Actinomycetota; Actinomycetes; Bifidobacteriales; Bifidobacteriaceae
Description: bacterial SSU rRNA
Rfam family: Bacterial small subunit ribosomal RNA
Source: RNAcentral
CUCCUGGAAACGGGUGGUAAUGCCGGAUGUUCCACAUGAGCGCAUGCGAGUGUGGGAAAGGCUUUUUGCGGCAUGGGAUGGGGUCGCGUCCUAUCAGCUUGUUGGUGGGGUAACGGCCUACCAAGGCGUUGACGGGUAGCCGGCCUGAGAGGGCGACCGGCCACAUUGGGACUGAGAUACGGCCCAGACUCCUACGGGAGGCAGCAGUGGGGAAUAUUGCACAAUGGGCGCAAGCCUGAUGCAGCGACGCCGCGUGCGGGAUGGAGGCCUUCGGGUUGUAAACCGCUUUUGUUCAAGGGCAAGGCACGGUUUCGGCCGUGUUGAGUGGAUUGUUCGAAUAAGCACCGGCUAACUACGUGCCAGCAGCCGCGGUAAUACGUAGGGUGCAAGCGUUAUCCGGAUUUAUUGGGCGUAAAGGGCUCGUAGGCGGUUCGUCGCGUCCGGUGUGAAAGUCCAUCGCUUAACGGUGGAUCCGCGCCGGGUACGGGCGGGCUUGAGUGCGGUAGGGGAGACUGGAAUUCCCGGUGUAACGGUGGAAUGUGUAGAUAUCGGGAAAGAACACC